AUCUGUACAUGAUGUAUCCAUUCGGAUCAAGAGCAUCCAAAAUAGGGAACACUGUCUGUAAAUGAAAUAGAUUAGAUACUUACUGUCCAAUCUGGAUGUACGAGAAGAUCUGUCAUUUCCAAAACUAGAGUAUAUGGUGGCUGGAUAUAUGGAUGUUUCAAUGGAUCAGAAGGAAGCUGAGUCUAUUAGUGAAACCUAGAAUUUACAAGAGGAAAAGAAAGAGGAAAAAAGAGAGGGGAUGGAAUUUUUUCGCCGUGUUCAACACCACAGACUAUCUUUCAGUAGUUCAGCCAUUCGUUAUGUCCAACCGUCGCUAUCGAUGUUGCUGUGUUAAAUUCCGUUGCUGCGCAUCGUAUUGGU
Acromyrmex echinatior (Panamanian leafcutter ant) is the source of this 360-nucleotide long non-coding RNA. NCBI's taxonomy places the organism in Eukaryota, Metazoa, Arthropoda, Insecta, Hymenoptera, Formicidae. The record is from RefSeq and is a predicted model, not a curated record.